Molecule: long non-coding RNA, 1765 nt
Organism: Bombyx mori (domestic silkworm)
Lineage: Eukaryota; Metazoa; Arthropoda; Insecta; Lepidoptera; Bombycidae
Exons: 2
Source: RefSeq, a predicted model, not a curated record
CUCUCUUUUAUUUUUUGCGGCCACUUUUAACGGCUUAAAGUAUUUGGCAUCAAAAACAAAGAUAAGUUUAAAAGUUUUUUAUUUACUUAUGUAAAUAUAAUACAUUGUGUGAAAUACGGUAAUAAGACUUUUUUGUAAAAACUGGCGCCACACUGAGACUUUGCCGGCACAUAAAAGUGCCGCUACUUAGAAAUUGAGGGGAUUGAGAGGGCAAAUAAAAUUGCAACUAUUUUUGGCAAUUAUUUUCUCGUAAGCUUUAAUAUUCAUCUCCAAAUAUCGUUUCUAUGAGCCUAGUGACAGUUAGAUAUAAAGAUGCCAAGGCUGAUCGUGGGACGUCUUGUGAACCCAUACGGGUACAUACCAUCACCCUGCCUAUUUCUGCCGCAAAGGCGAAUGCGUUGCGAUUUGAAGGGCGGGGUCACCGUUGUACUAUAGAACUGGGACUUAGAACUCAUAUCUCAAGUUAGGUAAGCAUGCAGGUGUGGCGAAACAUUUGGUGCCGUCACGCGCAUGUGCGACCGAAAAAAACUAGGAGGCAAGAAAAAGUAGGUAUUAAAAUAAACAUAUUUUUUUAAGCGUCCUAAAUAACCAUCCAGUAACCAUCAAACUCUCAGUACUAGAUUGUUCUACCAAAGCCUUUUUCGGCUUUGUCUUAAUUGAUCACUUUGACUUAUGGCGAAAUCGCUUACGCCUGUAUAAAAGAGUUAAAAGAAAAAUAUUAAUUUUAAUUACACAAGCAAUGAAACGUAGUACGUUGUAGUACGCCUAAGUAUUAUAAUGUAUGACACAGCGGAUAUCGUAUGAGAAUGGACCGGAACCGCUAGCGAUAAGUGUGGUAUAGCCGUGGGAACAUCCUGAUUGUGAUAUCAACGCAGGCGCUUAGAUUACGGUCGAGCACGAUAGACGCUCGUGCUUAAUUGAGGCAUCAAAUACUUCGUUCUAAAUAAAUUCUGAUCGUGCUCCCAUAGAUAAUACACAUAAUAUUAAAGAUGUGUACUGGCCAGUAUCGGUGAUGCGUGAUAACGCUGUGAAAAGAGUUUUGAAACUUAGGUUCGUUUUAAAAAAAUUAAAAUAAAUAGGUUAUUAGGUUCUACCUAUAGACAGAUCUAUAGAUAUCUAUAUUUAAAAAUUUUUAGGCGAUGUGACCGAUUUCUAUGAAAUUUUCAGAACAUCUCGAGAAUAAGAGAUAAAGUAUCAUCAUCAACGCACGAAUUAUUGGCACCCGUGCAGUUUCGAUAAGUGUGUAUAUUUUGUACAUUUAGUAACAAUCACUGAGACUGACGGAGACUGACUCAGUGGUGCAGUAGUUAGCACUCCUGACUGUUGCGCUGAAGGUCGUGGGUUCGGUUACCGCAUGGGGCAAACAUUCAUGUGAUGAACAGCGUUCGCGGCCUAUACUCGUCGAAAUCAGCUAUCUUCUUAAGGAAAUGACAUACCCACCUGGUGCAGGGAUGACUUGUGAAGGGUGGCCGUCAAGAAAUAAACGAGGAAAGCAGAAGAGCAGGAUCAGCGUCCUCGUCAGGAUCAGGAUCAUUAUCAUCAGCCCCCAGUAGUGGUGACGGUGUAUCCACUACGUGUUCCCGAAUGACUUUCACGGUGAUUGUAAAUUUCAGUAAUUCGAUACACUGCAUCUGAAUGGCCACAUUGGAUAGUUAUAGUACCGUUAGUUUUAUCAACUAUUUUGUUGUAUUUUUUUUAAAAUAAUUUUAUUAUUUUACCGUGGAUUUUUUCCGUGAUUAAAGAUUAACAGCAAUGAGCUAAACAA